Long non-coding RNA from Zingiber officinale, 745 nucleotides. RefSeq lists it as uncharacterized. The transcript has 3 exons. NCBI's taxonomy places the organism in Eukaryota, Viridiplantae, Streptophyta, Magnoliopsida, Zingiberales, Zingiberaceae. The record is from RefSeq and is a predicted model, not a curated record.
UUUUCUUUCUUUUCCUUAGUUCCUCACCCGCGCCCUAAAUUUUGCCCCGACGCCGCCCCUUCCUUCUCUCCCCCAACCCGAUCGGCUUCCCCAGCCGACGGCGACGCCUCCUCUCCCCCGCAUACAAAGCCCCUCAGCCAAGGAACUCGAGCCCUCUCUCUGUGCGCCGACUCCUCCCUCUUCCAUCCUUCUCCUCUUCGCGUCGCUCCACCCGACGCCACUGCCGCUCUCCCUUCUUCCCUCCGUGCUGCCACCGACCACCACAGCCGACGCCGACUCCCGAUCCGCCCGUUUCCCCUCUCUUCCUCAGCCAUCUCCGCACGGACGCACCCCGGCAGAGCACCCCCUCACUGAUCAGCCCGUCGUCUUCCCAAUCUGCUCAGGGUGGUUUUCGGACAGGAGCAAGGAUCCGAACCCUAACUUGGUUGGGGUUGAUCGUGAGCGGAUUUUCCGACGGUUUCUUCUUCCUCCCGUCCUCUGGAAUCUAGCUACUACCGGCGAUCUUUGCUUGGUUGAUCUCCACAGCCCUCAGAUCUAGCCCCGCCGGAGAGGGAACUGCCGAUUGGUGACAUCUAGGUAGUGUCGGCCACGAAUCUUUGGUAGCUGUAUUGUUCGGAAAGCAUUGUCCGGCAGCUGCUCUUCCUCUUCUCGGCUGUGAGUCAAUGGUUGUGACUUUGUGUUGAGGACUCUGAUUCGUGACGAGCACUUCGACAUAGAGAUUGAUUAGCUCGAUCUACAUUUAAGG